RNAcentral lists this ribosomal RNA (864 nucleotides) under uncultured archaeon. RNAcentral describes it as "bacterial SSU rRNA". It matches the Rfam family "Archaeal small subunit ribosomal RNA", at positions 1 to 872 of the family's 1478-position model. The record is from RNAcentral.
UUCCGGUUGAUCCUGCCGGACCUGACUGCUAUCGGAUUGAUACUAAGCCAUGCGAGUCAUUGUAGCAAUACAAGGCAGACGGCUCAGUAACGCGUAGUCAAUCUACCCUAUGGACGGGAAUAACCUCGGGAAACUGAGAAUAAUGCCCGAUAGAACAUUAUACCUGGAACGGUUUAUGUUUCAAAUGAUUUAUCGCCGUAGGAUGGGACUGCGGCCUAUCAGUUUGUUGGUGAGGUAAUGGCCCACCAAGACUAUUACAGGUACGGGCUCUGAGAGGAGUAGCCCGGAGAUGGGUACUGAGACACGGACCCAGGCCCUAUGGGGCGCAGCAGGCGAGAAAACUUUGCAAUGUGCGAAAGCACGACAAGGUUAAUCCGAGUGGUUUCUGCUAAAGAAACCUUUUGCUAGUCCUAGAAACACUAGUGAAUAAGGGGUGGGCAAGUUCUGGUGUCAGCCGCCGCGGUAAAACCAGCACCUCAAGUGGUCAGGAUGAUUAUUGGGCCUAAAGCAUCCGUAGCUCGUUUUGUAAGUUUUCGGUUAAAUCCAUACGCUUAACGUAUGGGCUGCCGGGAAUACUGCAUAACUAGGAAGUGGGAGAGGUAGACGGUACUCGGUAGGAAGGGGUAAAAUCCUUUGAUCUAUUGAUGACCACCUGUGGCGAAGGCGGUCUACCAGAACACGUUCGACGGUGAGGGAUGAAAGCUGGGGGAGCAAACCGGAUUAGAUACCCGGGUAGUCCCAGCUGUAAACUAUGCAAACUCAGUGAUGCAUUGGCUUGUGGCCAAUGCAGUGCUGCAGGGAAGCCGUUAAGUUUGCCGCCUGGGAAGUACGUACGCAAGUAUGAAACUUAAAGGAAUUGGCGGG